Molecule: ribosomal RNA, 407 nt
Filed under: uncultured bacterium
Lineage: Bacteria
Description: partial 16S ribosomal RNA
Rfam family: Bacterial small subunit ribosomal RNA
Source: RNAcentral
AGCGAACGCUGGCGGCAGGCCUAACACAUGCAAGUCGAACGGAGUGGCGGACGGGUGAGUAACACGUGGGAACGUGCCCUUUGGUUCGGAACAACUCAGGGAAACUUGAGCUAAUACCGGAUGCCAUUGGAGCGGCCCGCGUCUGAUUAGCCGGUUGGUGAGGUAAAGGCUCACCAAGGCGACGAUCAGUAGCUGGUCUGGGAGGAUGAUCAGCAACAUUGAGACUGAGACACGGCCUGAACUCCUACGGGAUGCAGCAGUGUGUAAUCUUGCGCAAUGCGGGAAAGCCUGACGCAGCCAUGCCGCGUGAAUGCUGAAGGUCUUAGGAUUGUAAAAUUCUUUCACCGGGGACGCGGUACCCGGAGAAGAAGCCCCGGCUAACUUCGUGCCAGCCGCCGCGGUAAUUC